AGCAUACUCCCUCCGUUCUGAAUUACUCGUCGCAGAAAUGGAUGUAUCUAGAACUCUAGAUACAUCCAUUUCUGCGACGAGUAAUUCGGAACGGAGGGAGUAGUAA
Triticum urartu is the source of this 106-nucleotide non-coding RNA. The record is from Rfam. Lineage: Eukaryota; Viridiplantae; Streptophyta; Magnoliopsida; Poales; Poaceae.